UUUAGACCCACGUGACACCCACAAAAACGUCCAAUAAAGAGAGCAGAAGCCAUGCUCCCUCCCUCCCAUCCUUUCCCGUUCUCAGGCUGAGCUCAGCUGCCACAGGGAGGUGCUGUGCUGUCUCUGUCUCUCGCUGUCUCUGGCUGAGAGAAGCCUGGAGCCCUGGAAUUGCAUGUGUGAGGCCCUGGCCGCAUCUAAAGGGAAAGGAAUUAAGGCAUCUGAUGGGGGUUGGCUGGGACCCCACUCCAACAGCAGACCUAGCGCACCAGAGGCUGCUCCCCUGCACUGUAACGUUGGGGUGUGUGUGUGUGUGUUUUCUCUGUGUGCUAGGCCUUAGGCCUGUGUGGGCAGCUCUGCUCCGGGCAAGUGGGUGGAGGCAGCUUUCUCAUUCUUUCCAUCUCAGAAUGGGGAGGAGACGCACCACUUGUGUUCCAGUGGAGGCUCAAGCCAGUGGCCAGCUUGGUGCACACUGAGGCAUGUGCCCUACUGGCUUGUGGACCACUUCUGGUGGGGAUGGGGACGCACAGGAAGUCCUGAGGCCUGUGACCUGCCUGCCCAGAACCAUGACAGUCUCACCUAGCCGGUGAGAACCCAGAGACCUUAAGAGCACACGCAGCGCCAGGAAUCGAACCAGCCCCAGCCACACCAGCCAGCGCUCGGCCGGUUGAGCCCUAUCCCUAGCCACAAGAAUAUAAUAAACAUAUAUGUACCUGCAUAUAUAUUAGAUAGAUAUAUUUUUAAUUGCAGCCUGGGUUUAUUGCGUGCAGCUCAGUGCCAGCACUAGGAACCCACUGCUUCCAGCAGCCAUUUUCCCUUUCUUAAUUUUUACUGGAUCGGACAAAGAGAAACAGGAGAGAGGGAGAUGAGACAGACACGUACAGACCUGCUUCACCAUUCGUGAAGCCCCCCCACAGGUGGGGAGGGAGGGCCUCGAACCCAGGUCCUUGUGCACUAUAGCAUGUUCACUCAGCCGAGUGCUAUCACCCAACCUCGUUUAUUUUAAAUAGAGAACCUGAGAGAAAGGGGAAAGAGAGAGAUCUGCCGUCCUGCUUCACUGCUUACGAAGCUUCCACCCUGCAGGUGGGGAGCAGGGGCUUGAACUAGGGUCCUUGUGCAAGGCAGCACGAGUGACAUACUGGUUCUGCCACUACGUGGCCCCAGAACUUAAUUUUUUAAAGCCAGUCUUUUUCUUUUUCCCUGCCACUAGGGUUAUCUCUGGGGCUUGGUGCUGCUACUAUAGAUUCACUGCUCCCAGUGGUCUUGUUCUCUUUUUAAAUUUUAUUUUGAUAGGACAGAGAGAAAAAUAAAAAAAGGGAAGACUCCUGCAGACCUGCUUCAGCUAGUGAAACUCCCCCCAUGUAGGUGAGGAGCUGGAGCUCGAACCCAGUUCGUUGCGCAGGGAAGUAUGUGUACACUCCACCGCGUGCGUCUCCACCUGGCCCCACGCCGGUCUUGAAGCCGGUUAAGGAGGCUUUCCCAAGCCUUCACAGGGCCAGAGGGCACGCCCCUGGACCCCGCCACCUGGGCCCCAUCCUCCUGCCCCAGUGCCAGCAGGCGACCUGCUUCUGUGCUAUCUCCCUCUCCAUCUCUGAAUGUGGUGAAGUUUCCCGGGGAACAGGCCCCAUGCCAUGAAAAUAAGUAAGAAAAAGCCUGCAAGGAGGCUGGGCGCUGACACGCUGGUUGAGAACACACGUCACAAUGCACAAGGACCCGGGUUCAAGCCUCCGGCCCCCACCUGCAGCAGUGAAGAGGGCUGCGGGUGUCUCUCCCUCUCUAUCUUCCCCUUCCCUCUCGAUGUCUGUCUCCAAUAAAUAUUUAAAUAAAUAAA
This is a long non-coding RNA of Erinaceus europaeus (western European hedgehog), 1828 nucleotides long. RefSeq lists it as uncharacterized. Lineage: Eukaryota; Metazoa; Chordata; Mammalia; Eulipotyphla; Erinaceidae. The transcript has 2 exons. The record is from RefSeq and is a predicted model, not a curated record.